UACAGAGGGUGCAAGCGUCAAUCGGAAUGACUGGGUGUAAAGGGCGCGUAGGCGGUAAGAUGAGUGUGAUGUGAAAGCCCCGGGCUUAACCUGGGAAGUGCAUCGCAAACUAUUUAACUAGAGUAUAUGAGAGGGUGGCGGAAUUUCCGGUGUAGCGGUGAAAUGCGUAGAGAUCGGAAGGAACGUCAAUGGCGAAGGCAGCCACCUGGCAUAAUACUGACGCUGAGGCGCGAAAGCGUGGGGAGCGAACAGG
Molecule: ribosomal RNA, 253 nt
Filed under: uncultured bacterium
Lineage: Bacteria
Description: partial 16S ribosomal RNA
Rfam family: Bacterial small subunit ribosomal RNA
Source: RNAcentral